Molecule: ribosomal RNA, 86 nt
Filed under: Escherichia coli
Lineage: Bacteria; Pseudomonadati; Pseudomonadota; Gammaproteobacteria; Enterobacterales; Enterobacteriaceae
Description: partial 16S ribosomal RNA
Source: RNAcentral
UUAAAUUGAAGAGUUUGAUCAUGGCUCAGAUUGAACGCUGGCGGCAGCCUAACACAUGCAAGUCGAACGGAACAGGAAGCAGCUUG